RNAcentral lists this ribosomal RNA (562 nucleotides) under uncultured bacterium. RNAcentral's name for it is "partial 16S ribosomal RNA". It matches the Rfam family "Bacterial small subunit ribosomal RNA", at positions 355 to 1375 of the family's 1533-position model. The record is from RNAcentral.
UGGGGAAUAUUGGACAAUGGGGGCAACCCUGAUCCAGCCAUGCCGCGUGAGUGAUGAAGGCCUUCGGGUUGUAAAGCUCUUUUGGCGGGGACGAUGAUGACGGUACCCGCAGAAUAAGCCCCGGCUAACUUCGUGCCAGCAGCCGCGGUAAGACGAAGGGGGCUAGCGUUGUUCGGAAUUACUGGGCGUAAAGCGAGUGUAGGCGGUUGCCGUAGUCAGGUGUGAAAGCCUUGAGCUCAACUCAAGAAAUGCACUUGAUACUGGGUGACUAGAGGACCGGAGAGGAUAGUGGAAUUCCCAGUGUAGUGGUGAAAUACGUAGAGAUUGGGAAGAACACCAGUGGCGAAGGCGGCUAUCUGGACGGUUACUGACGCUAAGACUCGAAAGCGUGGGGAGCAAACAGGAUUAGAUACCCUGGUAGUCCACGCCGUAAAACGAUGGGUGCUAGACGUUGGCGAGCUUGCUCGUCAGUGUCGCAGCUAACGCGUUAAGCACCCCGCCUGGGGAGUACGGCCGCAAGGUUGAAACUCAAAAGGAAUUGACGGGGUCAUAGCUGUUUCCU